Molecule: ribosomal RNA, 380 nt
Filed under: uncultured prokaryote
Description: partial 16S ribosomal RNA
Source: RNAcentral
CCCUAUGGGGUGCUGACAUGCUUGUCGAGGAACUGGCACUCGGCCGGGGUGAGAUCAAAGCGAAGCUCCGCCUCCUGGACGAUGACCUGCCGUUUCUUUUCCGGGUGCUCCUGCAGGGUUUCGGCCAUCCAGGCGAUGGCUUUUUUCAGUUUUGUCGACGUGGUCUGCACGGGGGAUUGCUCACUCAUGGGUUUCCUUGUUUUUCCUUGAUAGCGGUUGCUUGUUCCAGGCGAUGCGAUUAGAGUGUACCUGAAAGGCAACGAGGCGGCAACCCUGUCUUCGGAAGAGUGAUGCUGCCGGCACAAGCGUCUGGACCGUUACUGAAGACGGGCGAAAGCCUAUCCUGGAAGGAGGAGACAACGAGGUCGAUCAUGGAGAGC